UGGCAACCCUACCCGGGAGGGGAGCAGAAGCCAAUACGUGCUAAACUUGUGGCAUGGAAGGCCACAUCCGGAAGGACUGUCAGUAAUGGAGUGCUCGUGGGCAGACGCUUGGGAAGCAGCUCAGGGUUUAACUUUCACCCCAGUGAGCAACACUAAAGAACUUGGAAGGAUGGAAUGGAGAUCCCCCUUCCCUCUACAGAUUGCUCUGGACUGCAACUCUCACCAUAAUUGAUGAUCCUCACUUACUACAACUAGCAGCUGACCAUCACUGGCUGAGAAGAUAGUCAAUGUAGUCCCACAUAUCUCAAGGGUCUUUAAGAAAC
This is a long non-coding RNA of Sceloporus undulatus (fence lizard), 323 nucleotides long. RefSeq lists it as uncharacterized. The record is from RefSeq and is a predicted model, not a curated record. NCBI's taxonomy places the organism in Eukaryota, Metazoa, Chordata, Lepidosauria, Squamata, Phrynosomatidae. The transcript is spliced from 3 exons.